This 64-nucleotide transfer RNA is filed under the name Ironoquia dubia. Its description in RNAcentral is "tRNA-Asp". The record is from RNAcentral. Lineage: Eukaryota; Metazoa; Arthropoda; Insecta; Trichoptera; Limnephilidae.
AAAGAAUUAGUUAAAUUAUAACCUAGGUUUGUCAAACUUAAAUUAUUACUUGUAAUAUUCUUUU